CCUACGGGGGGCAGCAGUGAGGAAUAUUGGUCAAUGGACGAGAGUCUGAACCAGCCAAGUAGCGUGAAGGAUGACGGCCCUAUGGGUUGUAAACUUCUUUUAUAAAGGAAUAAAACGAGGCAAGUGUGCCUUUUUGCAUGUACUUUAUGAAUAAGGAUCGGCUAACUCCGUGCCAGCAGCCGCGGUAAUACGGAGGAUCCGAGCGUUAUCCGGAUUUAUUGGGUUUAAAGGGAGCGUAGAUGGGUUGUUAAGUCAGUGGUGAAAGUUUGCGGCUCAACCGUAAAAUUGCAAUUGAUACUGGCAGUCGUGAGUACAGUUGAGGUAGGCGGAAUUCGUGGUGUAGCGGUGAAAUGCUUAGAUAUCACGAAGAACCCCGAUGGCGAAGGCAGCUUACUAAACUUUGACUGACAUUGAUGCUCGAAAGUGUGGGUAUCAAACAGGAUUAGAUACCCUUGUAGUC
This 460-nucleotide ribosomal RNA is filed under the name uncultured bacterium. RNAcentral's name for it is "partial 16S ribosomal RNA". It matches the Rfam family "Bacterial small subunit ribosomal RNA", at positions 338 to 795 of the family's 1533-position model. The record is from RNAcentral.